Long non-coding RNA from Tribolium castaneum (red flour beetle), 691 nucleotides. RefSeq lists it as uncharacterized. NCBI's taxonomy places the organism in Eukaryota, Metazoa, Arthropoda, Insecta, Coleoptera, Tenebrionidae. The transcript has 2 exons. The record is from RefSeq and is a predicted model, not a curated record.
UUUAGAGGCCCAAAUUAUCCAAAGGAUGAUGUAUGAUAUAUGGUGUCACAACUCCCUUUAAUUCCCCAUAUAAAAAUGUCAACUGAACGCAAUGCUAGCAACAUGGCAAGGUCGGGAACUUUUUUGAACAUUGUUCAGCAGAUGGAGCUGUUCUACAAAUUUUUGACUAUUUUUCAAAUUUACGUCAUAAUGACACAUAUUAAAUUCUGUGGUCUAAGGCUGUUUACGGUGUUUACGACUAUCUACGAACCUGUGCCAGGAAUUAUAUUAGUUAAUGAAUCACAAGUAUGGUCUUUAAAGGAAAAUUCAUUUAUUUAGCAGUAAAAUGUUUUCACUACAAUAAUCUCUUGAGUAGAGACAUCAGCUAUCAUAAACAUAAAUAAAUUCAUAUCGGAGGCCCGAAAACAACUGUGAACGCAUUAUAAGGUGAUUGAUGUCUGUACAAACGGUAGUUGCACUUGAGUUUUCGAAAGUGUUAGAAUACAGCAACGCCAAAAACAACAAGUUGUGUAGAAAAAGCAUCAAUCCAUCGAGUAAUCUUUGUAAUCAAACCCAUUUGGAUGUAGGAACCAGCCUUGUUUCAAUGAUUUUAACUGAAAUUCCGCAUAACAUAAGAAAUGAGAGUAAUUAAUAAAGUUAUUAAUAUUUUUAAUCAAAACUACAGAUGAGAAGUAUAAUACACAAUUAGCAA